AGUUAGGAAAUGCAGGUGCGUUAAUAGCGCACUUGCUUGACUAAGGCUCCUGAGGAAGCCACGGCUAACUCUGUGCCAGCAGCCGCGGUAAUACAGAGGCGGCAAGCGUUGUUCGGAAUUAUUGGGCGUAAAGAGCACGUAGGCGGCCUUGCAAGUCAGUUGUGAAAGCCUUCCGCUUAACGGAAGAACGGCAUCUGAUACUACAGGGCUUGAGUACGGGAGGGGAGAGUGGAACUUCUGGU
RNAcentral lists this ribosomal RNA (242 nucleotides) under uncultured anaerobic ammonium-oxidizing bacterium. RNAcentral's name for it is "partial 16S ribosomal RNA". It matches the Rfam family "Bacterial small subunit ribosomal RNA", at positions 441 to 674 of the family's 1533-position model. The record is from RNAcentral.